Molecule: long non-coding RNA, 2782 nt
Organism: Grammomys surdaster
Lineage: Eukaryota; Metazoa; Chordata; Mammalia; Rodentia; Muridae
Exons: 2
Source: RefSeq, a predicted model, not a curated record
CUGGAGCCGGUGUGUGCUGGGCGCUGGGAAGAGACAGAGCGGUCGGCCGUGCGGAGAGGUCGCAGUGAUUUUGGUCCUCUGUCCUCAGCAACCCCCGCACCCAGCAUCAGGAACCUGUGCCUCCCACACCCUCACCUGGCUGAGCCGCAGUAGUUCUUCAGUGGCAAGCUUUAUGUCCUGACCCAGCUAAAGCUGCCAGUUGAAGAACUGUUGCCCUCUGCCCCUGGCUUCGAGGAGGAAGAGGAGGAACAGCUUCUUUGCCUAUCAUCUGGAAGGUGACAGAACUGGGGUUGGGAAGGUCUGGACAGCUGGGGUGAUGGCUUUACGGGAGGGAAACCCUGGUCCUCUGGGGAGCCCUUACCCACACUGACCCAGCAAAAGAUUUAGGUUAAAGGCACUGUCUAAACUGGGGAAUAGGUGACUCCACCUCCCCAAGGUUAGUUGAUCUCUGUGUGGCAAUGGGAAGAAGUAGAAGGAAAGUCUGUUUACCUAGACUUUCUUAUAGGCCUGCCUUUCUUAUCUUACCACCAUCUCCACAGCACGCUCGCACACACAGGCAAACGAGCACACACACAAGCACACACUUUACUUUCCAUGAGGUCCAAAAGUAAAUGUAGUUAGGAAAAAGGGACACUGAGAAACUCCAAUCUAAGUAGUCAUUUGUUCAUUUAUAUUUCUCUAUUUAUUUUUAGAUUGGUCCAGGUUUUGGGUUUAGGGGUACUUACCCUUACACCUGUUGAUUUCUCCACCCGUACAGUGGGGAACCCCAUAGAUAAAUAGACAGGAAGGCAUCAAAAGUCCACCAGUGGUGACUCAGAGCCUGGGCUCUUCUCUUUAUGUGGAUGGAAAUGAAACAGCUCUUCACAUGAAUUGUUGUCCCUCCCCCACCCCUGACUACUCACCCAGCUCUGGGGGAUUGGGAUGGAAGGAAAGGCUAUGGUUAAGACCCAGGCAAGCUAGUGGGAGGCUAGCCCUCUCCUGACUUCUUACCAUGCAUGGGUGGCCCAAGGCUUUCCCCUCCACCUAAAGGAAAACUAGCUCUGGGUUGAGUUCUAGCAACCACUGCCAUUUAUUUUCUGCCUUUGCUUUCCAGGAUAGUGAGACUCUGCUCAAUACUGUGCAGGCAAGAAAUUGUCUCCUGCAGCCAUCAGGGGAGAUGGGUUGUAUGAUAUGAGUCCCUUCUGCUGCCUCUAGCUCCUGAUUCAUUCUCACAUAUGGGCUCGGUCUCUGAUUGUGGUUCACCUUUGUCAGUCUUCCUAACAGAAGAUGGGUUCAGGGGGUACAGGAAGCUGUUUGUUCUAUUUGGCAGGAGGGGGAGGAGUUCUAGCCUAUUCCCCAUUUAUGAGAAACUGAAAGCCAUAGGGGAGACUAGAUCAUGUAAUCCAGCCCCGAUACAGUCUAAGGUGAGGGAUAGAUGUGUAAGGGACUGUAGCAGAUGGGGUGGGAGGCUGAGUCUGCUCACACACUGCAACAAAGAUUGCCCUGUCCCUCCACCUCGCUCGCUUUCUUUCCUCCUCACUUCACUGGCCACAGUGUGUCCCCUCAGCACAUGGCUCUGCUGUCUUCUCCAACAUGGAGCCUCAGAGGUGAGGAAGGGCAGCCUGGAGACAACAGAGGCAGGCAGAAGACAGUGGAGGACCUGGCCUGGAGCCACAAGGGCCUAUCCGGACAUUGGUCAGAGGGGCAUAUAGAAGCCUGGAGAACACCAGGAAAGAGAACAGCCAGCCAGCCUCAGUGAAAGACACACUUCCAGCCAUCUCCUCUCCAGACCUACCUCCCUGGGAGAUGAAGGACUUAAAGGAAGUAUGGUCCCAUCUCUUCUCUACCCCACAGUUUGUGUAUAAGCAGCCUCAAGGAACAUGAGCCACCUCUGAAAGGAAAUAUACAACAAAUUCAAAAGGAAAUUCAAAUGUGUAACACUAUGGAAAAACUUAUUUAUGUCUAGGGCUGUAGUUCAGUUGGUAGAAUGUUUGCUUAACAUGCGCCAAGCCCUGGUUCCGUCUUCUGCAUUGCAUAAAACUGGACAUGAUGGCCCAGGCCUCCAAUCCAGGCACUCUGGAGGUGGUGGCGAAGGAGCCUACAUUUAAGGUCAUCCUCUUUUACACAGUGAGUUCUGAGCCAGCCUGGACUACGUGAGACUGUCUCAAAAGAAAAAAGAAAAAAAAAAAGCAUUGGUUAGUAAUUCAAAGAAUGCAGAUGUCACUGAAAUCUUUUCCAUGGUCACAAUACAAGUCAGUGAGACUGCUGCACUUUGUGUGUGGCAGUGUCAGCCAUUGUAAGAGAUGCCUUUUGACCUAGUAAUUUUCUGUCUUAGAAAUAUAUCUUAAAAUAAGAAUUUGGUUAUAAAAUGUUCAUCUCAGGGUUGUAAUAGAGAAAAAUCGAAAGCAACUGUUUGUUUGGAAAUCCAUUCCUUUUCUGCUGUCAUGAAAAUUUAUAGCUGGGGAGUGCUUAAGUCAAUCAUACCCAUCUGAUGGUCCUUUAAUGUGUGGUCAUCUAAAGUCUUGUAGAACAAAAACUGAAUGGAAAUAUUAAAAAUUGAAUACUAAAAAGAUUAUAAAACUGUGAGUUUGUGACUGUUUUUAAACUAUGAGUGCAUACUUGUAAUACAUUUAAAAAAAACACUGAAAAUAGAUUCAAAAUGUUCAGAGUGGUUGUUUUUGUUUAGUGGGAUAGUACGAUUGUGAAUUUUCCCCUUGCUUUUUUCUGUCUUUCUAAGGUUUUAAUAUUAAUUGUAUAUUGCUUUCAUAUGUCAAAUAAAAUAUAAAAGACAAAUGUUUUAAAA